This is a non-coding RNA of Gasterosteus aculeatus aculeatus (three-spined stickleback), 1085 nucleotides long. NCBI's taxonomy places the organism in Eukaryota, Metazoa, Chordata, Actinopteri, Perciformes, Gasterosteidae. The record is from RefSeq and is a predicted model, not a curated record.
UAUCCUACAUUAGACAGGAAUCCUCACACCGGCUCGCCCUGUUGACGGAGGAGUCGCCUCCCCACUGUCAACAGGGGCACGAGGGACUUCUCCACGGGGUGCUCCACCUGCUCACAACGCCGAUUGCUGUAGCGCAUGGGUCUCCAGCCCGCUUGGACCUCAGGCAGAAGCGGCCUCCUGGGGGGGUGAGGUGGCCCCGUUCAUCCCCACUGGUCCAGAGGACAUGACCCGCCCGGCCGCAAAGGUGGAGAAGGCCACAGGUCUGGUUCGGAGACGUGUUAUAUAGGUGGGGGGGGGAUUAGUUCAAAGUGAGACGUUAGGUUCCAGAGAGGGCUAGCCUACGCCCGGGUCUCACUACAGGUGGCGGUAUUGUCGCAGACCAAAGUCUGCAGACUUGUUUUGUCCCACCUGGCCAAUAUAAAGAAGGCGGGGCAACGAAGGCGAGAAGAUUGGUCACACCUGACAUGCUGCACGUCAUAGGAAAGAGGAGUGAGAGACGAAGGGACAAACAAAACAGCAGAUCCCUGGUAGCUGGACCUGUGGUGUCCUACGAGAGGAAUCCUCAAAAAGACCUGCUGGACACUGACAGAGGAAGAAUCGACCGGAGACCUUUUGGACCGCCCUGGACUACGGCUCGCCGCGUCGAUCAGGAAAGAUGAGGCCGUGCAGAAACACCUCUCCUGACUCUCUGGAUUAUCCAACUCACACUCACCACCCCACACGCACCCCCCUCCACCCCACCCAAUGUCCCUAACCCAUUUAAGCAUUUUGCUUCCAUCCAACUGGGAAAAAGGACGAGUGGUAAUUCACCAAACCUCUUCCUCUUCUGCUUUUGGUGCAUCGCUGCAUCUCCUGAAGCAUCACCUUUACAAACGGUCGAUCGGUGCAGUAGUGGAAACCACUGGCAGGAUUUAUUUCACCUGAUUGAGCAUCUAAUCAACCAGCUCAUAGUAAAGUUACUCCUGGUGGUCAGAAACUCCACUGAGUCCCUUUUUUAAAUUCUGUAUUUUGUACAAAUUCCACCUUCCUUCCUCCCCUUUGUAUUACACGUCUCCAUACUGUGUCCCAGAGCAACGGGGCCGGGC